RNAcentral lists this ribosomal RNA (2855 nucleotides) under Coscinodiscus wailesii. Its description in RNAcentral is "large subunit ribosomal RNA". It matches the Rfam family "Bacterial large subunit ribosomal RNA". Lineage: Eukaryota; Bacillariophyta; Coscinodiscophyceae; Coscinodiscales; Coscinodiscaceae. The record is from RNAcentral.
UUGGAUAAAAUAAAAAACAUAAUUUUUAAUAAUUUAUGUACAUUAAAAAUAUUAAAAAAUGCACUAAGUGACUGCCUAAAUGUUAAAAAUCGGACGUUUAAUCACGACAUUUAAAAGUGAGUAAUACUUAUUGCUGAGAUCUUUUAAAAUCCGUUAUCAGAAAACUGAUCUUUUAUUGAUUUUCCAAAAAUUAGUGAAUUGAAACAUCUUAUUAACUAAUUAAAAAAUCAACCGAGAAACCGAAAGUAGUGGCGAACGAAAUCGGUCAUAAGACUUAUCCGUAUAUGGACAUUUAAAAUUAAAUUUAAAAAUGCCAAAGAAGGUUUUAGCCCUGUAAGUUUUAAAAAUAAAAACAUAUAUGUUUUUUUAAAAUAAAACUUUAUAUUUGUAAGGUUUGAAUAAUGAGGAACCACCCUCAAAGUCUUUAAAAUUUUUAACAAUUGAUAGUGUACUAGUACUUUGAAGGAAAGGUGAAAUAGAGCUUUAGAGCGUUAACUCCCUAAAACUUAGUGUAAACAAUCAGUUGCAGCUCAAGCAAAAGAGCAGCAGCGUACCUUUUGUAUAAUGGGUCAACUAGUUUAAAUUAUAAGCGAGCUUAAGUUUUUAAAAGACGUAGGCGUAAAAAAUAUGAGUAUUAAAUUGCUUUUUAGUUUAUAAUAUAAAACCCGAAACUAUGUGAUCUAACUAUGAACAGGCUGAUUUUUAAGCGGGAACGCUUUUAGGAGGGCCGAACUCGUGUAUGUAGAAAAAUACUGAGAUGAUUUGUAGUUAGGGGUGAAAGGCCAAUCAAACAUAGAGAUAGCUGGUUUUCUGCGAAAUCUAUUUAAGUAGAGUGUUUAAAAAACUUUAAACGAGGUAGAGCACUUUUAAAAUAAUGGGGAUUUAGUAGUCUUACAAAAUUUUAAAAAACUCCGAAUACGUUUUUAAAUGAUUUUAAGCAAACAGACUAUGGAUGAUAAGAUCCUUAUUUGUCGAAAGGGAAACAGCCCAGACUAUUAGUUAAGGUCCUUAAAAAAAUUUAAGUGAAAAAUUUGUAAAAAAAAAAACAGUUAGUAGGUAGGCUUGGAAGCAGCCAUCCUUAAAAGAAAGCGUAACAGCUCACUAAUAUACUUUUUUUUGCAUAGAAAAUGUAUAGGGACUUAAAAUUUUUUACCGAAACUAUAGAUUUAUAUAGACGUAUGUUUUUAUAAAAUGGUAGCAGAACAUUCUGUAAGCUAUUGAAGAUUUGUAGUAAUAUAAGUUAGAAGUAUCAGAAUUGAGAAUGUUGACAUGAGUAACGAUAACAAUGAAAUAUAACAUUGUCACCUUUUGUUUAAGGUUUUUAAGUAAAAGUUAAUCUUGCUUAUUGUAUAAUCGGUCUCUAAGAAUUAAAACGAAAGUUUUAUUUAAUGAGUAAACUUUUUUAUAAAGUAUAAUUAAAAUUUUUUUAAAAAUAAAGUGACAAAAUAUAAAUUUAAUUUUUAUUAACGGGGCUUAAUAAAUGUUUUUUAAUAUUUUCAAGAAAUAGCUUUAUUAUUUAUUUUUUAAAACCGUACCUUAAUCCGACUCAGGUAAACAAAUUUAGUAAAUUAAGGUGAUUGAAAUAAUUAUUUUUAAGGAACUCGGCAAAAUGACUCUGUAUCUUCGGUAUAAAGAGUAGCUUUUUAAGGGUAACCUUUUUAAGCUGUCACAAAAUCGGGGACAGCGACUGUUUAUUAAAAACACAGGUCUCUGCUAAUUUGCAAAAUGAUGUAUAGAGACUGACGCCUGCCCGGUACUGUAAGUUGAAAAAAAAAAGUUCUGGCUUUUUUUAUAAGUCUCAGUAAACGGCGGCUGUAACUCUGACGGUCCUAAGGUAGCGAAAUUCCUUGGUAUUUAAUUGGUGUCCUGCAUGAAUGGCGUAACGACUGUCCUACUGUCUUAAAAAUAAUUUCAGUGAAAUUGAAAUUUUCGUGAAGAUGCGAAAUUCUUGCAGGUAGACGGAAAGACCCCGUGCACCUUUACUAUAGUUAUAUAUUGCAAAUUUGAAUAAAAUGUAUAGAAUAUGUGGUAAAUUAAAAUAGUUUUCUAAAAAAUUUACUAUAGUAAUUAGUUAUGAAAUACCACACUUAUUAUUUAAAUGAGCUAAUAAAAGACAUUGUAUAAUGGGUAGUUUGACUGGGGCGGUCACCUCCUAAAAAGUAACGGAGGUGUGCUAUAGGUAAGCUCAAGUUCAAAAGCUUUAGAGAAUAAUAUUAAAUUGCUUGCUUGACUGUAAGAUUGACAAAUCAAACAGGGACGAAAGUCGGUUAUAGUGAUCCGAUGAUUCUUUGUGGAAAGAUCAUCGCUCAACGAAUAAAAGGUACGCCGGGGAUAACAGGCUAAUCACUUUUUAGAGACCUUAUCGAUGAAGUGGUUUGGCACCUCGAUGUUGGAUUAUCACAUCCUGGAGCUGCAAAAGGUUCCAAGGGUUUGGUUGUUCGCCAAAUAACGUGGUACAUGAUCUGAGUUUAGAACGUCGUGAGACAGUUUGGUCCCUAUCUUCUGUGAGUAAAAGAAAAUUGAAAGAAUUAAACUUUAGUACGAGAGGACCAAGAAAAAUAAAUCAAUGGUGUUUCGAUUGUCUUUCCAAAGGCAUAGUCGAGUAGCUACAUUUAUAUUAAAUAAAUACUGAAAACAUUUAAGUAUGAAUUUAUUCUUAAAACAAAUUUUCUAAAAACCGUAAAAGAUUAUUACGUUAAUAGGUUUAAUGUGUAAAAACUGCAAAGUUAAAAGCUAAUAAAUAACUAAGCUAAUAAAAUUUUAUUGAUAUAUUUAAUUACAAAAAAAUUUGAAAUUCAAUUUAUAUAAUCUAUAUAAAAGUAACCUGACUUAUUAGAUCUAUGUCAAGAGUUUAG